RNAcentral lists this ribosomal RNA (490 nucleotides) under uncultured bacterium. Its description in RNAcentral is "partial 16S ribosomal RNA". It matches the Rfam family "Bacterial small subunit ribosomal RNA", at positions 30 to 507 of the family's 1533-position model. The record is from RNAcentral.
AUUGAACGCCGGCGGCAGGCCUAACACAUGCAAGUCGAACGGUAACAGGAAGAAGCUUGCUUCUUUGCUGACGAGUGGCGGACGGGUGAGUAAUGUCUGGGAAACUGCCUGAUGGAGGGGGAUAACUACUGGAAACGGUAGCUAAUACCGCAUAACGUCGCAAGACCAAAAAGGGGGACCUUCGGGCCUCUUGCCAUCGGAUGUGCCCAGAUGGGAUUAGCUAGUAGGUGGGGUAACGGCUCACCUAGGCGACGAUCCCUAGCUGGUCUGAGAGGAUGACCAGCCACACUGGAACUGAGACACGGUCCAGACUCCUACGGGAGGCAGCAGUGGGGAAUAUUACACAAUGGGCGCAAGCCUGAUGCAGCCAUGCCGCGUGUAUGAAGAAGGCCUUCGGGUUGUAAAGUACUUUCAGCGGGGAGGAAGGGAGUAAAGUUAAUACCUUUGCUCAUUGACGUUACCCGCAGAAGAAGCACCGGCUAACUCCGUG